UGAACUGUUUCCCGCUCAGCUUUCACCGUUGGAUGGACAACGAACUGUGAAAGUCCCAAGAGAGAAUGCUCCACACGAUUUCCUGCGCCCCACACAGCUCUCCAAAACCCUAAUAUUUUAUCAGUGUGUUUUCCUGAGAGCUGACAGCUGUAUUUAUAAUAAAAUAAAUACGUGUAGGCACAGAAUUAGUGUAGGAGGCAUUUUUCUCUUCUUCUAGGGC
RNAcentral lists this long non-coding RNA (220 nucleotides) under Salvia miltiorrhiza (redroot sage). Its description in RNAcentral is "long non-coding RNA (SMIL_LNC000334)". Lineage: Eukaryota; Viridiplantae; Streptophyta; Magnoliopsida; Lamiales; Lamiaceae. The record is from RNAcentral.